GAGCGUGACGACCAGCCAGUUGGAACCUACGAUAACAGAUAUUUCUUAUUAUUAAAGGGUGACGAAACCGCUGGAUACACAGGUGAUAGAACAAAGCAGCAGUGAUCCAGAGAGGGCUAAUCUCCUUCCGAGUCUCCUUAGGAAAAGCUACUGGCGGAGGGUUGGUAAUCAAUUAAAUGGCAAACUAGUGCAAAGUUGAGAUACUUAUUGCCACUCAAACUAGUUGCAUUCAGCGAUAAUCCGUAGUAAACUAUGGCAUUAACGGCCCAAAUGAG
Molecule: long non-coding RNA, 275 nt
Organism: Drosophila ficusphila
Lineage: Eukaryota; Metazoa; Arthropoda; Insecta; Diptera; Drosophilidae
Exons: 3
Source: RefSeq, a predicted model, not a curated record